Molecule: ribosomal RNA, 200 nt
Filed under: uncultured bacterium
Lineage: Bacteria
Description: partial 16S ribosomal RNA
Rfam family: Bacterial small subunit ribosomal RNA
Source: RNAcentral
ACUCCUACGGGAGGCAGCAGUGGGGAAUUUUGGACAAUGGGCGCAAGCCUGAUCCAGCCAUGCCGCGUGCGGGAAGAAGGCCUUCGGGUUGUAAACCGCUUUUGUCAGGGAAGAAACGGUCUGCAUUAAUACUGCGGACUAAUGACGGUACCUGAAGAAUAAGCACCGGCUAACUACGUGCCAGCAGCCGCGGUAAUACA